RNAcentral lists this non-coding RNA (93 nucleotides) under Saimiri boliviensis boliviensis (Bolivian squirrel monkey). Lineage: Eukaryota; Metazoa; Chordata; Mammalia; Primates; Cebidae. The record is from RNAcentral.
AGCUGGUCCCAUGAUAAUGGGUUGUCAGAACUUAACCUUAGUGUCACUAAAGUUAAUAAACAGCCCUCCACUGCUAAGUUUGACUCACCAAAA